This 282-nucleotide long non-coding RNA is filed under the name Mytilus galloprovincialis (Mediterranean mussel). The record is from RNAcentral. Lineage: Eukaryota; Metazoa; Mollusca; Bivalvia; Mytilida; Mytilidae.
CCCUCGCUAGCCAUUUAACUUAUAUAAGGACAUAACUCUAAGAACUGUAAAAGUGAAGCUGCCAAAAAUUGAACUUAAGGAUGUUCGCUGCUCAGUUUCAAAAUUAAUAACUUUUCAUAAAACUAGUAGGUAUGAUAGGCAUAAAAUUGAGGAUUCAAAAAAGCAAAAAAAUAUAGGGGUCAAUGUGCUUGUUUUCGAGUUAUAAGCCAUUACAUUUGGCGGGAAAUGUUCUCGUCUUGAUUUUUCAUAGCUGUAUCAUUGACCAGUUAGAAGUUCUCAAAU